This 253-nucleotide ribosomal RNA is filed under the name uncultured bacterium. RNAcentral's name for it is "partial 16S ribosomal RNA". It matches the Rfam family "Bacterial small subunit ribosomal RNA", at positions 524 to 776 of the family's 1533-position model. The record is from RNAcentral.
UACGGAGGGGGCUAGCGUUGUUCGGAAUUACUGGGCGUAAAGCGCACGUAGGCGGCUUUGUAAGUUAGAGGUGAAAGCCCAGGGCUUAACCCUGGAAUUGCCUUUAAGACUGCAUCGCUAGAAUCGUGGAGAGGUGAGUGGAACUGCGAGUGUAGAGGUGAAAUUCGUAGAUAUUCGCAAGAACACCAGUGGCGAAGGCGGCUCACUGGCCCGGUACUGACGCUGAGGUGCGAAAGCGUGGGGAGCAAACAGG